This 402-nucleotide ribosomal RNA is filed under the name uncultured bacterium. Its description in RNAcentral is "bacterial SSU rRNA". It matches the Rfam family "Bacterial small subunit ribosomal RNA", at positions 355 to 774 of the family's 1533-position model. The record is from RNAcentral. RNAcentral also lists the same sequence under 1 other name.
UGGGGAAUAUUGCACAAUGGGCGAAAGCCUGAUGCAGCAACGCCGCGUGAGCGAUGAAGGUCUUCGGAUCGUAAAGCUCUGUCCUCAAGGAAGAAUUUUGACGGUACUUGAGGAGGAAGCCCCGGCUAACUACGUGCCAGCAGCCGCGGUAAUACGUAGGGGGCUAGCGUUAUCCGGAAUUAUUGGGCGUAAAGGGUGCGUAGGCGGUCCUACAAGUCAGAGGUGAAAGGCUACGGCUCAACCGUAGUAAGCCUUUGAAACUGUAGGACUUGAGUGCAGGAGAGGAGAGUGGAAUUCCCAGUGUAGCGGUGAAAUGCGUAGAUAUUGGGAGGAACACCAGUUGCGAAGGCGGCUCUCUGGACUGUAACUGACGCUGAGGCACGAAAGCGUGGGGAGCGAACA